RNAcentral lists this ribosomal RNA (573 nucleotides) under uncultured bacterium. RNAcentral describes it as "partial 16S ribosomal RNA". It matches the Rfam family "Bacterial small subunit ribosomal RNA", at positions 355 to 921 of the family's 1533-position model. The record is from RNAcentral.
UGGGGAAUUUUGGACAAUGGGCGCAAGCCUGAUCCAGCCAUGCCGCGUGCGGGAAGAAGGCCUUCGGGUUGUAAACCGCUUUUGUCAGGGAAGAAAUCUUCUGAGUUAAUACCUCGGGAGGAUGACGGUACCUGAAGAAUAAGCACCGGCUAACUACGUGCCAGCAGCCGCGGUAAUACGUAGGGUGCAAGCGUUAAUCGGAAUUACUGGGCGUAAAGCGUGCGCAGGCGGUUUUGUAAGACAGAGGUGAAAUCCCCGGGCUCAACCUGGGAACUGCCUUUGUGACUGCAAGGCUUGAGUGCGGCAGAGGGGGAUGGAAUUCCGCGUGUAGCAGUGAAAUGCGUAGAUAUGCGGAGGAACACCGAUGGCGAAGGCAAUCCCCUGGACCUGCACUGACGCUCAUGCACGAAAGCGUGGGGAGCAAACAGGAUUAGAUACCCUGGUAGUCCACGCCCUAAACGAUGUCAACUGGUUGUUGGGAAGGUUCCUUCUCAGUAACGUAGCUAACGCGUGAAGUUGACCGCCUGGGGAGUACGGCCGCAAGGUUGAAACUCAAAUGAAUUGACGGGGUCA